GGAGCGGUAGUUCAGUUGGUUCCCAUACCGGCCUGUCACGCCGGGGGUCGCGGGUUCGAGUCCCGUCCUCUCCGCCA
Molecule: transfer RNA, 77 nt
Filed under: Photobacterium damselae subsp. damselae
Lineage: Bacteria; Pseudomonadati; Pseudomonadota; Gammaproteobacteria; Vibrionales; Vibrionaceae
Description: tRNA-Asp
Rfam family: tRNA
About the family: Transfer RNA (tRNA) molecules are approximately 80 nucleotides in length. Their secondary structure includes four short double-helical elements and three loops (D, anti-codon, and T loops).
Source: RNAcentral